GUCACCAUAUGAGGAAGUCCAUCUAUCCUACUGGUGAACCCAGCUGGAGAGAUCAAUGCCUCACAGCACACAGCUCAUCCCACCAUCCCGGAAGAGGGACCUAGCAUGUGAGUGAAAAAGCCAUCUUGGGUGAUCCAGACCGAGGAGACAACCCAUGGAACAGAGUAACUGUCCAGGCUUAUUCACGAGAGUCAAGACAUGGGAAUGAACUAAGUGUCCAUUGACGGAUGCAUGGAUAACGAAAAUGUGGGCUCUACAGACCUCGGAAUGGUAUUCGGCCAUAAAAAAGAAGGAAAUCCUGCCAUCUGCAUCAACACGGAGGAAACUUCGAGGCAUGACACCAAGUGAGGUAAAUCCCUGAGAAGCUUUAUUCAUCACCGUGUUGGCCCUUCCUCUGGCAUCGUCUGAAACACCUGGAAAAUGCUUUAAAAAUAGAAACAUCUAAAACUCAACCCAUCUUUGAGAUUCUGAUGCAGCUGAUAGAGCCCAGAAAUUCACGUGAGAGAAAUUCACCAUUAUUCUGAUGACACCCAAGUAUGCAGACCACUAACCAGAAAGGACACUUUCCUCUGGUAGCUUAUUGGCAUAUGAAAGCAUCCUUAGAUGGCUCUUAGAAAUUAAAAAUAACUUAGAAAACAUGUAGCCUGACCUAUUUACAGAAAUUCUCUAUAUUCUAUAAUUCUGACUUUUAGGUGAAGUGGCCUGAACUUAGCCCCCAAAUAAUUCCAGUUAAUCAGCUUUCACUCUGUGUUUUAACUUGCAUUUAAGGAGCUCAGGGUGAGUCAACCCUCUCAAGUUCUAGGCACCGAAGCCUAAGCCAAGGGUUGGCAAACAAUGGUCACUUCGUACUCCCACCUGUUUUUGUAAACAAAGCUUUAUUGGAAUUUAGGCUCAUUUGUUUACAUAUUGUCUAUGGAUGCCCUCACACCAAGAGUGCAGAGUUGAGUAGUUCAAACAAAGAUCAUGUGGCCUGCAGACCCCAAAAUAUUUACAUCUGGUCCUUUAUGAAAAAAGUUUGCUGAUU
This is a long non-coding RNA of Ailuropoda melanoleuca (giant panda), 1024 nucleotides long. RefSeq lists it as uncharacterized. NCBI's taxonomy places the organism in Eukaryota, Metazoa, Chordata, Mammalia, Carnivora, Ursidae. The transcript is spliced from 3 exons. The record is from RefSeq and is a predicted model, not a curated record.